UAGGGAAUCUUCGGCAAUGGACGAAAGUCUGACCGAGCAACGCCGCGUGAGUGAAGAAGGUUUUCGGAUCGUAAAACUCCGUUGGUAGAGAAGAACGUUGGUGAGAGUGGAAAGCUCAUCAAGUGACGGUAACUACCCAGAAAGGGACGGCUAACUACGUGCCAC
RNAcentral lists this ribosomal RNA (165 nucleotides) under uncultured bacterium. RNAcentral describes it as "partial 16S rRNA". It matches the Rfam family "Bacterial small subunit ribosomal RNA", at positions 355 to 511 of the family's 1533-position model. The record is from RNAcentral.